AUUCUUUCGCAGAGGCGAUAUCAUCGCCUAUGAGGCCCAGCCGAGGCGUGAUUAUUGCUGGUUGAAAACUUAACCCAAUACCCCGCCAUGGGUGACUUGAAAUAUAGUCAGCCAUGGCAAUUUUUGAUAGUCUCAUAUGAGA
Hucho hucho (huchen) is the source of this 142-nucleotide small nuclear RNA. Its record names the gene U4. It matches the Rfam family "U4 spliceosomal RNA". Rfam says of the family: U4 small nuclear RNA (U4 snRNA) is a component of the major U2-dependent spliceosome. NCBI's taxonomy places the organism in Eukaryota, Metazoa, Chordata, Actinopteri, Salmoniformes, Salmonidae. The record is from Ensembl.